ACCGGCAAACGGGUGCGGAACACGUACACAACCUUCCUUUUGGUGGGGGAUAGCCCAGGGAAACUUGGAUUAAUACCCCGUAAUAUCUUUUAACGGCAUCGUUUGGGAGAUUAAAGAUUUAUCGCCGGGAGAUGGGUGUGCGUAUGAUUAGGUAGUUGGUGUGGGUAAUGGCCCACCAAGCCGACGAUCAUUAACUGGUGUGAGAGCACGACCAGUCACACGGGCACUGAGACACGGGCCCGACUCCUACGGGAGGCAGCAGUAAGGAAUAUUGGUCAAUGGACGGAAGUCUGAACCAGCCAUGCCGCGUGGAGGAUGAAGGUCCUCUGGAUUGUAAACUUCUUUUAUAGGGGGCGAAAAAGGGCCUUUAUAGGUCAACUGACGGUACCCUAUGAAUAAGCACCGGCUAACUCCGUGCCAGCAGCCGCGGUAAUACGGAGGGUGCAAGCGUUAUCCGGAU
RNAcentral lists this ribosomal RNA (460 nucleotides) under uncultured bacterium. Its description in RNAcentral is "bacterial SSU rRNA". It matches the Rfam family "Bacterial small subunit ribosomal RNA", at positions 94 to 550 of the family's 1533-position model. The record is from RNAcentral.